CAUUAAAGAGUUCUAUAACUCCCAAACCCAUGUGAACAUACCUAACGUUGCCUCGGCAGGUCGCACCUACCUUGUAGCACCCUACCCUGUAGGGCCUACCCGGGAGGUGCGGGUAAGCCUGCCGGCGGCCCACCAAACUCUGUUUGAUAUUGAAUUCUGAACCUAUAACUAAAUAAGUUAAAACUUUCAACAACGGAUCUCUUGGUUCUGGCAUCGAUGAAGAACGCAGCGAAAUGCGAUAAGUAAUGUGAAUUGCAGAAUUCAGUGAAUCAUCGAAUCUUUGAACGCAUAUUGCGCCCAUUAGUAUUCUAGUGGGCAGGACCGUUCGAGCGUCAUUUCAACCCUUAAGCCUUCGUUGCUUAGUGUUGGGAGCCUACGGCAACGUAGCUCCUCAAAGUUAGUGGCGGAGUUGGUUCACACUCUAGACGUAGUAAUUUUUUAUCUCGCCUAUUAGUUGGACUAAUCCCCUGCCGUAAAACCCCCAAUUUAUCAAGGUUGACCUCGAAUCGGUUCAGACAAACUCGCUAAAUUGAAGCAUCUUAGUCAGCGAAGGAAAAGAAACCAACAGGGAUUGCCCUAGUAACGGCGAGUGAAGCGGCAACAGCUCAAAUUUGAA
RNAcentral lists this ribosomal RNA (616 nucleotides) under fungal endophyte. RNAcentral describes it as "eukaryotic LSU rRNA". The stretch from base 182 to 335 matches the Rfam family "5.8S ribosomal RNA". The record is from RNAcentral. Lineage: Eukaryota; Fungi.